UGAACGCUAGCGGCGUGGUUCAGACAUGCAAGUCGAGCGAGAACUCCUGACGGGUAACCUGAGGGAGGGACAGCGGCGAACGGGUGCGUAACACGUGAGCAACCUGCCCUUGAGUGGGGAAUAGCCCGCCGAAAGGUGGAGUAAUACCGCAUAUGGCAUCAUCCCGCAUGGGAUGGAGGCUAAAGCUAGGGAUCCUUCGGGACCUGGCGCUUAGGGAGGGGCUCGCGGCCUAUCAGCUUGUUGGUGAGGUAACGGCCCACCAAGGCUAAGACGGGUAGCUGGUCUGAGAGGAUGAUCAGCCACACUGGAACUUAGACACGGUCCAGACACCUACGGGUGGCAGCAGUUUCGAAUCAUUCACAAUGGGCGAAAGCCUGAUGGUGCGACGCCGCGUGGGGGAUGAAGGUCUUCGGAUUGUAAACCCCUGUCACCAGGGACUAAACUCUGUGCGUUAAUAGCGUACAGACUGAAUUAACCUGGAGAGGAAGCAGUGGCUAACUCCGUGCCAGCAGCCGCGGUAAUACGGAGACUGCGAGCGUUACUCGGAUUUACUGGGCGUAAAGGGUGCGUAGGCGGCCGGGUAUGUCGGGUGUGAAAUCUCGGGGCUCAACCCCGAAACUGCGCCCGAAACUGCCCGGCUAGAGUCUCGGAGAGGGUAGCGGAAUUCCCGGUGUAGCGGUGAAAUGCAUAGAUAUCGGGAGGAACACCAACGGCGAAGGCAGCUACCUGGACGAGUACUGACGCUGAGGCACGAAAGCGUGGGGAGCGAAAGGGAUUAGAUACCCCUGUAGUCCACGCCCUAAACGUUGCACACUAAGUCUUGGAGGAUUCGACCCCCUCAGGGCUCAAGCUAACGCAUUAAGUGUGCCGCCUGAGGACUACGGCCGCAAGGCUAAAACUCAAAGGAAUUGACGG
Molecule: ribosomal RNA, 915 nt
Filed under: uncultured bacterium
Lineage: Bacteria
Description: bacterial SSU rRNA
Rfam family: Bacterial small subunit ribosomal RNA
Source: RNAcentral